This 495-nucleotide ribosomal RNA is filed under the name uncultured bacterium. Its description in RNAcentral is "bacterial SSU rRNA". It matches the Rfam family "Bacterial small subunit ribosomal RNA", at positions 903 to 1397 of the family's 1533-position model. The record is from RNAcentral.
AAAUGAAUAGACGGGGACCCGCACAAGCGGUGGAUUAUGUGGAUUAAUUCGAUGCAACGCGAAAAACCUUACCUACCCUUGACAUGUAUCGAAGCUUGCUGAAAGGCGAGUGUGCCCGAAAGGGAACGGUAACACAGGUGCUGCAUGGCUGUCGUCAGCUCGUGUCGUGAGAUGUUGGGUUAAGUCCCGCAACGAGCGCAACCCUUGUCAUUAGUUGCCACCAUUUAGUUGAGCACUCUAAUGAGACUGCCGGUGACAAACCGGAGGAAGGUGGGGAUGACGUCAAGUCCUCAUGGCCCUUAUGGGUAGGGCUUCACACGUAAUACAAUGGCGCGUACAGAGGGUUGCCAACCCGCGAGGGGGAGCUAAUCUCAGAAAGCGCGUCGUAGUCCGGAUCGGAGUCUGCAACUCGACUCCGUGAAGUCGGAAUCGCUAGUAAUCGCGGAUCAGCAUGUCGCGGUGAAUACGUUCCCGGGUCUUGUACACACCGCCCGU